This 646-nucleotide ribosomal RNA is filed under the name uncultured marine eukaryote. Its description in RNAcentral is "SSU rRNA". It matches the Rfam family "Eukaryotic small subunit ribosomal RNA", at positions 618 to 1268 of the family's 1831-position model. The record is from RNAcentral.
GUUAAAAAGCUCGUAGUUGGAUUUCUGUCAGUGAGGUUCAGUCCGCCCCAGCGGUUGGUACGUGAUCCGCCACUGGCAUCUUCCUGGGGAAUGUGUCUGCCAUUAAUUUGGUGGUGCAUAAGCCAGGACUUUUACUUUGAAGAAAUGAGAGUGUUUCAAGCAGGCAUGCGCCGUGAAUACGUUAGCAUGGGAUAAUAGCAUCGGACCUCGUUCCAAAGCUGUUGGUUUCUUGGACCGAGGUAAAGGUGGAUAGGGAUUGUUGGGGGCAUUCGUAUUUGACUGUCAGAGGUGAAAUUCUUGGAUUUGUUGAAGACGGACUACUGCGAAAGCAUCUGCCAAAGAUGUUCUCAUUGAUCAAGAACGAAAGUUAGGUGAUCGAAGACGAUCAGAUACCGUCCUAGUCUUAACCAUAAACUAUGCCGACUGGAGAUCGGGGGUCGUUAAUUAUGUGACGCCCUCUGCAUCUUGAGAGAAAUCAAAGUCUUUGGGUUCCGGGGGGAGUAUGGUCGCAAGGCUGAAACUUAAAGGAAUUGACGGAAGGGCACCAACAGGAGUGGAGCCUGCGGCUUAAUUUGACUCAACACGGGAAAACUUACCAGGUCCAGACAUAGUAAGGAUUGACAGACUGAUAGCUCUUUCGAGAUUU